AUUGAACGCUGGCGGCAUGCCUUACACAUGCAAGUCGAACGGCAGCACGGGAGCAAUCCUGGUGGCGAGUGGCGAACGGGUGAGUAAUAUAUCGGAACGUGCCCAGUCGUGGGGGAUAACGUAGAGAAAUUUACGCUAAUACCGCAUACGAUCUAAGGAUGAAAGCGGGGGAUCGCAAGACCUCGCGCGAUUGGAGCGGCCGAUAUCAGAUUAGGUAGUUGGUGAGGUAAAGGCUCACCAAGCCGACGAUCUGUAGCUGGUCUGAGAGGACGACCAGCCACACUGGGACUGAGACACGGCCCAGACUCCUACGGGAGGCAGCAGUGAGGAAUAUUGGACAAUGGGCGCAAGCCUGAUCCAGCCAUGCCGCGUGCAGGAUGACGGUCCUAUGGAUUGUAAACUGCUUUGUACAGGAAGAAACACUACUUCGUGAAGUAGCUUGACGGUACUGUAAGAAUAAGGAUCGGCU
This 469-nucleotide ribosomal RNA is filed under the name uncultured bacterium. RNAcentral describes it as "bacterial SSU rRNA". It matches the Rfam family "Bacterial small subunit ribosomal RNA", at positions 30 to 498 of the family's 1533-position model. The record is from RNAcentral.